Molecule: ribosomal RNA, 443 nt
Filed under: uncultured bacterium
Lineage: Bacteria
Description: partial 16S ribosomal RNA
Rfam family: Bacterial small subunit ribosomal RNA
Source: RNAcentral
CCUACGGGUGGCAGCAGUGGGGAAUAUUGGACAAUGGGCGCAAGCCUGACCCAGCAACGCCGCGUGAAGGAAGAAGGCUUUCGGCUCGUAAACUUCUAUUAACAGGGACGAAAGAAGUGACGGUACCUGAAUAAUAAGCCUCGGCUAACUACGUGCCAGCAGCCGCGGUAAUACGUAGGUGGCAAGCGUUAUCCGGAUUUACUGGGUGUAAAGGGUGAGUAGGCGGCAUGGUAAGCCAGAUGUGAAAUCCAGGGGCUCAACCUGUGGACUGCAUUUGGAACUGUCUUGCUGGAGUGCGGGGAAGGAAAGCGGAAUUCCUGGUGUAGCGGUGAAAUGCGUAGAUAUUAGGAAGAACACCAGUGGCGAAGGCGGCUUUCUGGACAGCAACUGACGCUGAGGCGCGAAAGCGUGGGGAGCGAACAGGAUUAGAUACCCCAGUAGUC